This 484-nucleotide ribosomal RNA is filed under the name uncultured bacterium. RNAcentral describes it as "partial 16S ribosomal RNA". It matches the Rfam family "Bacterial small subunit ribosomal RNA", at positions 30 to 507 of the family's 1533-position model. The record is from RNAcentral.
AUUGAACGCUGGCGGCAGGCCUAACACAUGCAAGUCGAGCGGAUGAAGGGAGCUUGCUCCUGGAUUCAGCGGCGGACGGGUGAGUAAUGCCUAGGAAUCUGCCUGGUAGUGGGGUAUAACGUCCGGAAACGGGCGCUAAUACCGCAUACGUCCUGAGGGAGAAAGUGGGGGAUCUUCGGACCUCACGCUAUCAGAUGAGCCUAGGUCGGAUUAGCUAGUUGGUGGGGUAAAGGCCUACCAAGGCGACGAUCCGUAACUGGUCUGAGAGGAUGAUCAGUCACACUGGAACUGAGACACGGUCCAGACUACUACGGGAGGCAGCAGUGGGGAAUAUUGGACAAUGGGCGAAAGCAUGAUCCAGCCAUGCCGCGUGUGUGAAGAAGGUCUUCGGAUUGGAAAGCACGUUAAGUUGGGAGGAAGGGCAGUAAGUUAAUACCUUGCUGUUUUGACGUUACCAACAGAAUAAGCACCGGCUAACUUCGUG